This 486-nucleotide ribosomal RNA is filed under the name uncultured bacterium. RNAcentral's name for it is "partial 16S ribosomal RNA". It matches the Rfam family "Bacterial small subunit ribosomal RNA", at positions 29 to 507 of the family's 1533-position model. The record is from RNAcentral.
AUUGAACGCUGGCGGCAUGCUUUACACAUGCAGGUCGAGCGGCAGCGCGGGGGCAACCCUGGCGGCGAGCGGCGAACGGGUGAGUAAUGCAUCGGAACGUAUCCUCGAGUGGGGGAUAACCCAGCGAAAGUUGGGCUAAUACCGCAUGAGCUCUGAGGAGGAAAGCGGGGGACCUGCGAGGGCCUCGCGCUGGAGGAGCGGCCGAUGUCCGAUUAGCUAGUUGGUGGGGUAAAGGCUUACCAAGGCGACGAUCGGUAGCUGGUCUGAGAGGAUGAUCAGCCACACUGGGGCUGAGACACGGCCCAGACUCCUACGGGAGGCAGCAGUGGGGAAUUUUGGACAAUGGGGGCAACCCUGAUCCAGCCAUGCCGCGUGAGUGAAGAAGGCCUUCGGGUUGUAAAGCUCUUUCGGACGGAACGAAAUGGGCGGGACUAAUACUCCUGUCUGAUGACGGUACCGUAAGAAGAAGCACCGGCUAACUACGUG